AGAGUUUGAUCCUGGCUCAGGAUGAACGCUAGCGACAGGCUUAACACAUGCAAGUCGAGGGGCAGCAUGGUUUGUAGCAAUACAGAUUGAUGGCGACCGGCGCACGGGUGAGUAACGCGUAUGCAACUUACCUAUCAGAGGGGGAUAGCCCGGCGAAAGUCGGAUUAAUACCCCAUAAAACAGGGGUCCCGCAUGGGAAUAUUUGUUAAAGAUUCAUCGCUGAUAGAUAGGCAUGCGUUCCAUUAGGCAGUUGGCGGGGUAACGGCCCACCAAACCGACGAUGGAUAGGGGUUCUGAGAGGAAGGUCCCCCANAUUGGUACUGAGACACGGACCAAACUCCGUACGGGAGCA
RNAcentral lists this ribosomal RNA (352 nucleotides) under uncultured bacterium. Its description in RNAcentral is "bacterial SSU rRNA". It matches the Rfam family "Bacterial small subunit ribosomal RNA", at positions 8 to 349 of the family's 1533-position model. The record is from RNAcentral.